GGCAAUUCUUUUUUGAUAGAUUCAGCAGCUUGAAGUUCAGCCUCUAUCCUAGAAAUUUUAUCACUGAGGCCUUUAGUCUCUUGUUCCCUGUUGGCCUUGACUGUUUCUAUCUGAACAUGCAACAUUUGUAGCUCAUGUUGUGCAGCAGCUAAAUCUCGCCUCAAAGUUACAUGGGUGGCAGCAAGCCUCUGAUUUUCUGUAGUAAGUUUUUGCAUCUCAAGAUGUUGUGCACCAAUCUUCUGUUCCAAAAUCUCUGGAGGAGGUAGCCUGUCAAAAGGGGGGAAAUCAACUGGUGGAGGGUUAUGCGUAGGAGGACCAAAAGAAUCAGGAUACAUCAUGCCGGGUCCUGGAGGCGGACGCCUAAUGUUGGGAGGUGGCCCUCGACCUUUGCUUCCCAUUGAGAGAUUGUGCCAGGAACCUUUGAACAAAUUGAACUUGCUUCAAUUAGGGAUUCACCUUCCCUUUCGAAUCGGAACAG
This 478-nucleotide unclassified non-coding RNA is filed under the name Hevea brasiliensis (rubber tree). The record is from RNAcentral. Lineage: Eukaryota; Viridiplantae; Streptophyta; Magnoliopsida; Malpighiales; Euphorbiaceae.